UGGGGAAUAUUGGACAAUGGGCGAAAGCCUGAUCCAGCCAUGCCGCGUGUGUGAAGAAGGUCUUCGGAUUGUAAAGCACUUUAAGUUGGGAGGAAGGGCAGUAAGCGAAUACCUUGCUGUUUUGACGUUACCGACAGAAUAAGCACCGGCUAACUCUGUGCCAGCAGUCGCGGUAAUACAGAGGGUGCAAGCGUUAAUCGGAAUUACUGGGCGUAAAGCGCGCGUAGGUGGUUCGUUAAGUGGAAUGUGAAAGCCCCGGGCUCAACCUGGGAACUGCAUCCAAAGCUGGCGAGCUAGAGUAGGGCAGAGGGUGGUGGAAUGUCCUGUGUAGCGGUGAAAUGCGUAGAUAUAGGAAGGAACACCAGUGGCGAAGGCGACCACCUGGGCUCAUACUGACACUGAGGUGCGAAAGCGUGGGGAGCAAACAGG
This 429-nucleotide ribosomal RNA is filed under the name Pseudomonadota bacterium. RNAcentral describes it as "Proteobacteria bacterium partial 16S ribosomal RNA". It matches the Rfam family "Bacterial small subunit ribosomal RNA", at positions 355 to 776 of the family's 1533-position model. Lineage: Bacteria; Pseudomonadati; Pseudomonadota. The record is from RNAcentral.